UGGGAAGAAUGAAGUUACAUAUUCAGAGCUUCUCAAGCUUGCAGUUUGGCAGCAAAACCUGCCUGCGGCCCAUGAAAUUUGGAAGGAUUAUAUCAAAAACUACAGUCUGAGCAUUAUUCCUCUACAGAAGUUUAUUUGGUCUUUUACUAGGUUGGGAGAUUUAAAAUCUGCGUAUGAGA
Non-coding RNA from Prunus avium (sweet cherry), 179 nucleotides. NCBI's taxonomy places the organism in Eukaryota, Viridiplantae, Streptophyta, Magnoliopsida, Rosales, Rosaceae. The record is from RefSeq and is a predicted model, not a curated record.